GGCACGAGGUGUAGUGGGUUAUCACGCUGGCUUAGCACGUAACUUGCGAGAGGAGUCCGGUUCGAUCCCCGCAUGUCA
Molecule: transfer RNA, 78 nt
Filed under: Dichomitus squalens
Lineage: Eukaryota; Fungi; Basidiomycota; Agaricomycetes; Polyporales; Polyporaceae
Description: tRNA-Ala
Source: RNAcentral